RNAcentral lists this signal recognition particle RNA (302 nucleotides) under Chinchilla lanigera (long-tailed chinchilla). Its description in RNAcentral is "Metazoan signal recognition particle RNA (ENSCLAG00000021976.1)". It matches the Rfam family "Metazoan signal recognition particle RNA". Rfam says of the family: The signal recognition particle (SRP) is a universally conserved ribonucleoprotein. It is involved in the co-translational targeting of proteins to membranes. The record is from RNAcentral. Lineage: Eukaryota; Metazoa; Chordata; Mammalia; Rodentia; Chinchillidae.
GCUGGGUGUGGUGGCGCGCGCCCGUAAGUCCCAGCUACUUGGGAGGCUGAGGUGGGAGGAUCACUUGAGUCCAGGAGUUCUGGGCUGUGGUGCACUAUGCAGAUUGGGUCCAUACUAAGUUCAGCAUCACUAUGGUGACCUCCUGGGAGCGGGGGACCACCAGGUUGCCUAAGGAGGGGUGAACCGGCCGAGGUCAGAAACGGAGCAGGUCAAAACUCCGGUGCUGAUCAAAUAUAUCUUUCAGAACUAUGAAUUUUCCUUACGAUUUUUCCAUAAGCAUCUUGUUAUUGAAUUCUGUGUUU